RNAcentral lists this transfer RNA (83 nucleotides) under Opitutaceae bacterium. RNAcentral's name for it is "tRNA-Leu". The record is from RNAcentral. Lineage: Bacteria; Pseudomonadati; Verrucomicrobiota; Opitutia; Opitutales; Opitutaceae.
GCCGACGUGGUUUACUGGGAAUCUAGGAGACUGGCUCCGCUCAGAACGGAUGAGCCUUGGGGGUGCAAGUCCCCCCGUCGGCA